CCCUUAGAUGUUCUGGGCCGCACGCGCGCUACACUGACGAAUUCAACGAGCUUAUAACCUUGGCCGAAAGGUCUGGGUAAUCUCCAAAUUUCGUCGUGAUGGGGAUAGAUUAUUGCAAUUAUUAAUCUUCAACGAGGAAUGCCUAGUAAGCGCAAGUCAUCAGCUUGCGUUGAUUACGUCCCUGCCCUUUGUACACACCGCCCGUCGCUCCUACCGAUUGAAUGGUCCGGUGAAGCGUUCGGACCGUGGCCUUUGGACGGUUCGCCGUCUGUUGGCUGCGGGAAGUUCGUUAAACCUUAUCAUUUAGAGGAAGGAGAANUCGUAACA
Molecule: ribosomal RNA, 327 nt
Filed under: uncultured eukaryote
Lineage: Eukaryota
Description: partial 18S ribosomal RNA
Rfam family: Eukaryotic small subunit ribosomal RNA
Source: RNAcentral